Molecule: long non-coding RNA, 760 nt
Organism: Dreissena polymorpha
Lineage: Eukaryota; Metazoa; Mollusca; Bivalvia; Myida; Dreissenidae
Exons: 3
Source: RefSeq, a predicted model, not a curated record
UGUUAACAUAUCAAAAUGGCGGAGAAUAGAUAAUGUUGGGAGGAUAUUGACUUUAUCUCAGAGGUGCUUCGCAUGACUUAAUUACAUGCUUUACCGAUUGCAGUAACCAACCCACUUGUUACUAGGAUCUUUGACUAGGAAGUCUUAAACAUUCCACCAAUCCCAACCGUCAAAGUGGUGUACAUGCGAAGCGAACGUUCGACAAGUUUAGCCAUCUUGCAGUAGGUUAAGUGCAGAGGGUGAAAUUGGUUGGCGAACGGUGACAAGCUUCUAUCAUCGACGAGAAAAUAGGUCUACUAUAUAACGAUGACGAGCUUGGGGAGCGUGUUCACCGACCAAGAAGUUAACAAUUGGCUGAAGGCGAGGUUGGCAAUUAAUAUAACAAGUACUGGCUUACAUAAGUUUAUUGACAGGGAAGUAAAAAACGUUCAAGAAGAUAUUUUAAAAUCCAUUUCUUUGACUGCAACAUGCACCAAUUGUUGUACUGCGAACCUGUUGAAGUGCCCCACACCGGGCAUAUGCAAGAUUCAAAGACAAAAGGGAAGCCCAUCAAUAUGUAACUACCCACAUGACACGGCAAUGCAUCAACCAAAACCUUGUCCAAACAGCAUAUGUGACGAUAUUCGUGAUGAAAUAAUAAAGAAACACCGUUAUAAACGUCCAUCUUGGAAGAAUACAUCAGCAGAACAAUGGACUUCCAACCACUGGGAAUUAGCUAAGUGUUUCAUGCCUCGAGAUGGUUAUGCUGGAGUGAGUAAUA